RNAcentral lists this ribosomal RNA (516 nucleotides) under uncultured bacterium. RNAcentral's name for it is "bacterial SSU rRNA". It matches the Rfam family "Bacterial small subunit ribosomal RNA", at positions 8 to 524 of the family's 1533-position model. The record is from RNAcentral.
AGAGUUUGAUCCUGGCUCAGGAUGAACGCUGGCGGCGUGCUUAACACAUGCAAGUCGAGCGAAGCGGUUUGAAGGAAGUUUUCGGAUGGAAUUCAAAAUGACUGAGCGGCGGACGGGUGAGUAACGCGUGGGUAACCUGCCUCAUACAGGGGGAUAACAGUUAGAAAUGACUGCUAAUACCGCAUAAGCGCACAGUGCCGCAUGGUACGGUGUGAAAAACUCCGGUGGUAUGAGAUGGACCCGCGUCUGAUUAGGUAGUUGGUGAGGUAAUGGCUCACCAAGCCAGCGAUCAGUAGCCGACCUGAGAGGGUGACCGGCCACAUUGGGACUGAGACACGGCCCAAACUCCUACGGGAGGCAGCAGUGGGGAAUAUUGGACAAUGGGGGAAACCCUGAUCCAGCGACGCCGCGUGACUGAAGAAGUAUUUCGGUAUGUAAAGGUCUAUCAGCAGGGAAGAAAAUGACGGUACCUGACUAAGAAGCCCCGGCUAACUACGUGCCAGCAGCCGCGGUAAU